RNAcentral lists this ribosomal RNA (555 nucleotides) under alpha proteobacterium MPCa6SU_Cu05. RNAcentral's name for it is "bacterial SSU rRNA". It matches the Rfam family "Bacterial small subunit ribosomal RNA", at positions 69 to 670 of the family's 1533-position model. Lineage: Bacteria; Pseudomonadati; Pseudomonadota; Alphaproteobacteria. The record is from RNAcentral.
AACUCUUCGGAGUUAGUGGCAGACGGGUGAGUAACGCGUGGGAACCUACCUUUAGGUACGGAACAACAGUUGGAAACGACUGCUAAUACCGUAUGUGCCCUAUGGGGGAAAGAUUUAUCGCCUAAGGAUGGGCCCGCGUUGGAUUAGCUAGUUGGUGGGGUAAAGGCCUACCAAGGCGACGAUCCAUAGCUGGUCUGAGAGGAUGAUCAGCCACACUGGGACUGAGACACGGCCCAGACUCCUACGGGAGGCAGCAGUGGGGAAUAUUGGACAAUGGGCGCAAGCCUGAUCCAGCCAUGCCGCGUGAGUGAUGAAGGCCCUAGGGUUGUAAAGCUCUUUCAGCGAGGAGGAUAAUGACGUUACUCGCAGAAGAAGCCCCGGCUAACUUCGUGCCAGCAGCCGCGGUAAUACGAAGGGGGCUAGCGUUGUUCGGAAUCACUGGGCGUAAAGCGCACGUAGGCGGACUUUUAAGUCAGGGGUGAAAUCCCGGGGCUCAACCCCGGAACUGCCUUUGAUACUGGAAGUCUUGAGUCCGAGAGAGGUGAGUGGAACUCC